AGAUCUUGAUGCGUUUGCUAUGGUUUGUAUAUGCAUUAAACUGUCUGGAAUAACCUCUAUGCAAAGCGCGCUUGUAUGUUGCAUGCAUGUGCAUGUGUGUGAUGUUUUUGUGGGUUUAUAUUAGUUGUGAGAUCCUUAUAGAAAACAUUGAUUUUAUUCAGUUAAGAGAGAGAAAAAGGGUAAAAGGUAAACUCAAAUGGCUUAGGUUGAGGCAGGAAAAAAGCAUUUCAUUUAUAAGCACCUAAUAGAGAACAUGGUUUUUGGCAAGCUGAAAGGAUUUAUUUGGCCUACUGCUAUUAAUUCGGAAUCAAGGAUUAGUUUGCGUGAUACCCUAAAUCAGCAGAAGAUGGUAUCUAAUUACAUUCUGUUCAUUCUAUAUACUAUAUACUAUAUGUUUGGUCCUUUGAAAAACCAAGUGCAUUAAGCUUCUACAUUAUUGAACCUUUGUCGACUGAAAAACCUAGGAUAGGUUUUAUGAGGCAGUGUAAUACAAGAAUAUUUUGCAGUAAGCCCCUCACAUGCAAAUUCUCUCAGUAGUCCCUCUUUUGGGGUGUGUGUUAUGUUCUCCUCUACUUAUGUUCUUGACAAGUUGGUCAGUGCUGAAGGAUAGCCUAAUAUGUGAUUUGGAAUAACUGGAUUCUGUAAGCCCUUAGCUUUGCUUGUGUGAGCUAAGGUUGGUUUGUGCUCUGAUACUGUAAGUCAUGACUCAUGAGUCAUGACCUUAGACCUGAGUGGGCUAUUAAUCUAACAAUUGAGACUAGGCUAGGACCAUCCACAUGGCCCAAAGCAAACCCUUUAUGGCUAGUAGUACACUUAUAUAAUGAAGUUACUGACUUGUAAUCACCUACUAUUUUUAUAAGGUUAUAUCAUGGAACGCGUUUUGUUGACCUUUUACCCUUGGCUCAUUUUUCACAUCAACUGGGGACAACUUAUCCAGAUUUUAUUUCGUUUUAAGUGCUAUUUUCUGGCAUCACUGUGUGUGUCCCAGGUUGCAAAUUUGCAACCAUGCAUGUUUUGAGUUGCAAAUUUCAACCCUGCUUUGGGUGGCCAAUACUGGGUUUGACCUGUUAUGCUUCCAUAUAUGUGCAAGGUGACCUGAGUGGGAUUCCAUUUAGAUCUAUUUUUUAAGAUUGUAGAAUGAAUUGUGCAUCCAUUUUUUUUU
This 1162-nucleotide unclassified non-coding RNA is filed under the name Hevea brasiliensis (rubber tree). Lineage: Eukaryota; Viridiplantae; Streptophyta; Magnoliopsida; Malpighiales; Euphorbiaceae. The record is from RNAcentral.